CCACUUCUACUCCACUAGAAGGAGGAGGUCGCGGCAGGGUAGGCUUAUGGUGUUGCGGUUCGAUCCCAAGAUAAGAAAGCACACUUGGUAUACAGAGAAGAAGGAAAGAUAGGCACACGGCAAAGCUGCGAAACCAAAUUACACGAGCUACACUAUAUGGCAACAGGCACAGUCAAGUGGUUCAACGACGCUAAGGGUUUCGGAUUCAUCACGCCAGACGAAGGCGGUGAGGACCUGUUCGCUCACUUCUCUGCCAUUAACGUUCAGGGGUUCAAGACACUCAAAGAAGGACAGAAGGUGUCGUUCGACGUUA
RNAcentral lists this unclassified non-coding RNA (313 nucleotides) under Candidatus Tremblayella princeps. RNAcentral describes it as "Candidatus Tremblaya princeps csp". The record is from RNAcentral. Lineage: Bacteria; Pseudomonadati; Pseudomonadota; Betaproteobacteria.